Molecule: long non-coding RNA, 1431 nt
Filed under: Piliocolobus tephrosceles (Ugandan red Colobus)
Lineage: Eukaryota; Metazoa; Chordata; Mammalia; Primates; Cercopithecidae
Description: lncRNA (ENSPTEG00000004601.1)
Source: RNAcentral
GGUUUUUAAUAUAUUUGUAAAAAGUAAAUACCAUAAUUGAACACAUUUAUGUGCACAUACAUGUAUAUAUACGCAUGCAUAUAUAUACACACAUGUGCAACUGCUUAAGUAUAAUUUUGUGUUUUUAGGAAAACAAUUUAUUAUUUUUUGGAAAAAAUACAUUUUUCUAUACAAAAAAAAAAAAGUAAGGCAAAUAAAUAUGCAAACAAGUGAACAUACAAACAAGUGAACAUAUGAGCAUAAAAAAAAUAAAAAAGUAGAAUGUUCAACAUAUAUAAUUCCAUAAACGUUCUAACACGAAAUGUUUUCAUUAUGAUUACAUUUUUUUUUUUUUUUUUUUUUUUUUUUAGAAAAUAAAAAAAGAAAAGAUACUUACAAUCAUAAAAGUAGUGUAUUAAAAUAUGAAAACAAAUUUAUUGAUGAAAAAGAAAAUACAAAUAAUUUCAUUGGGGACAAUCUUAAUUAUAAAGUUGUUAAAUACAUGAAUUUUGUUAAAGAAGAAAAUAUUCUCGUAAAAAAAAAAAAAAAAAAAAUUUUUUUACUUAUCAUUUUACCAUAGUCUUUAUGAAUAUAUAAGUUCAAUAGUGGCUUAUCCUUUAUUAAAUAUUUCAACAAAAUUGAUUAUUUUUCAAGAUAAUACGAAAUCACUAUUUUACAACUUAAAAAAUAUAACCCAACUGACAUAUAAGAUUGACGGAGUUAGCGGCUUUUUUAAAGGGUUGAAUAAUUAUCUAAUAAUACAAUCAUUGGAUAAAGUAUUAAAUUGUUUUUUAUAUAAAUUAUUCUCAUCUAACUAUUCUUACAAUAAAGUUAUUACAAUUAAAGUAGUUUUAACAACGUGUUUAAAUACUAUCAUAGCUCCUUACAUUCAAUAUUCAAUGCUAAAUAGGUCACAAUCUCAAGUAUUGGGUUUAUGUAAGGAUACAAGCUUUAAUGAAUUUUUUAGUAAUUACCCAUGGAAAAGUCAUGUGUCUAAUGUAACCUUUUGUUUAGCAGUAACUGCAGUUCAGCUAAUGGUAAUAAUAAAAAAAGAGAAAAACACAAAUACACAAGAAACACAAAUAUAUAUAUUUAUGUAUAAGUUUAUAUAUACAUUGUAAAAUUCUCGUGAGUACAUAUCACCAACAUUUUCAUUUUCUAUAGAUUUUCGCAUUGAUACCGAAAGACACAACUAAAAAUGACGAUGUUAUUAAUGAAGAACGUGACGAAUAACUUUUAAUGAAUGUCCUUUUUUUCUUUUUUUUCAUUUAUAUUUAUUAAACUUUUUUAAAAGAAAAACAAUUUAUUAAAAAAAAAAAAAAAAAAUUUUAAAUAUUCUUACCUUGUUAACAUGUUUUAAUAAGUUGUUUAUACAUUAUGUGUAAAAAUGAAAAUUCUAUGUUUUAUACUCAACAAAAUAAACACAGUUUAAUUAUAUUUUUUGAUGAAUAU